RNAcentral lists this ribosomal RNA (255 nucleotides) under Clostridioides difficile. Its description in RNAcentral is "partial 16S ribosomal RNA". It matches the Rfam family "Bacterial small subunit ribosomal RNA", at positions 404 to 677 of the family's 1533-position model. The record is from RNAcentral. Lineage: Bacteria; Bacillati; Bacillota; Clostridia; Peptostreptococcales; Peptostreptococcaceae.
AGUGAUGAAGGCCUUCGGGUCGUAAAACUCUGUCCUCAAGGCAGAUAAUGACGGUACUUGAGGAGGAAGCCCCGGCUAACUACGUGCCAGCAGCCGCGGUAAUACGUAGGGGGCUAGCGUUAUCCGGAUUUACUGGGCGUAAAGGGUGCGUAGGCGGUCUUUCAAGUCAGGAGUGAAAGGCUACGGCUCAACCGUAGUAAGCUCUUGAAACUGGGAGACUUGAGUGCAGGAGAGGAGAGUGGAAUUCCUAGUGUA